Molecule: ribosomal RNA, 106 nt
Filed under: Fukomys damarensis (Damara mole-rat)
Lineage: Eukaryota; Metazoa; Chordata; Mammalia; Rodentia; Bathyergidae
Source: RNAcentral
AUUCUAUGCCACACCACCCUGAACGCAACCGAUCUCAACUGAUCCUGGAAGCUAAGCAGGGUCAGGCCUGGUUAGUACCUGGGUGGGAGAAAUUUAAUACUGAAUU